RNAcentral lists this ribosomal RNA (702 nucleotides) under Actinomycetes bacterium. Its description in RNAcentral is "bacterial SSU rRNA". It matches the Rfam family "Bacterial small subunit ribosomal RNA", at positions 63 to 781 of the family's 1533-position model. Lineage: Bacteria; Bacillati; Actinomycetota; Actinomycetes. The record is from RNAcentral.
CGAACGAUGAAGCCUUUCGGGGUGGAUUAGUGGCGAACGGGUGAGUAACACGUGGGCAAUCUGCCCUGCACUCUGGGACAAGCCCUGGAAACGGGGUCUAAUACCGGAUACGACACAUCACUGCAUGGUGAAUGUGUGGAAAGCUCCGGCGGUGCAGGAUGAGCCCGCGGCCUAUCAGCUUGUUGGUGGGGUAAUGGCCUACCAAGGCGACGACGGGUAGCCGGCCUGAGAGGGCGACCGGCCACACUGGGACUGAGACACGGCCCAGACUCCUACGGGAGGCAGCAGUGGGGAAUAUUGCACAAUGGGCGAAAGCCUGAUGCAGCGACGCCGCGUGAGGGAUGACGGCCUUCGGGUUGUAAACCUCUUUCAGCAGGGAAGAAGCGAAAGUGACGGUACCUGCAGAAGAAGCACCGGCUAACUACGUGCCAGCAGCCGCGGUAAUACGUAGGGUGCGAGCGUUGUCCGGAAUUAUUGGGCGUAAAGAGCUCGUAGGCGGCUUGUCACGUCGGAUGUGAAAGCCCGGGGCUUAACCCCGGGUCUGCAUUCGAUACGGGCAGGCUAGAGUUCGGUAGGGGAGAUCGGAAUUCCUGGUGUAGCGGUGAAAUGCGCAGAUAUCAGGAGGAACACCGGUGGCGAAGGCGGAUCUCUGGGCCGAUACUGACGCUGAGGAGCGAAAGCGUGGGGAGCGAACAGGAUUAG